AUUGAACGCUGGCGGCAGGCUUAACACAUGCAAGUCGAGCGGGGUGAUGGUGCUUGCACUAUCACUUAGCGGAGGACGGGUGAGUAAUGCUUAGGAAUCUGCCUAUUAGUGGGGGACAACAUCUCGAAAGGGAUGCUAAUACCGCAUACGUCCUACGGGAGAAAGCAGGGGAUCACUUGUGACCUUGCGCUAAUAGAUGACCCUAAGUCGGAUUAGCUAGUUGGUGGGGUAAAGGCCUACCAAGGCGACGAUCUGUAGCGGGUCUGAGCGGAUGAUCCGCCACACUGGGACUGAGACACGGCCCAGACUCCUACGGGAGGCAGCAGUGGGGAAUAUUGGACAAUGGGGGGAACCCUGAUCCAGCCAUGCCGCGUGUGUGAAGAAGGCCUUAUGGUUGUAAAGCACUUUAAGCGAGGAGGAGGCUCUUUUGGUUAAUACCCAAGAUGAGUGGACGUUACUCGCAGAAUAAGCACCGGCUAACUCUGUGCCAGCCGCCGCGGUAA
This 503-nucleotide ribosomal RNA is filed under the name uncultured bacterium. RNAcentral describes it as "partial 16S ribosomal RNA". It matches the Rfam family "Bacterial small subunit ribosomal RNA", at positions 30 to 523 of the family's 1533-position model. The record is from RNAcentral.